UGCGCAGGCGGACUUUUAAGUCAGUGGUGAAAUCCCGAGGCUCAACCUCGGAACUGCCAUUGAUACUGGAAGUCUUGAAUUUGGUUGAAGUGGGCGGAAUGUAGCAUGUAGCGGUGAAAUGCUUAGAUAUGCUACAGAACACCGAUCGCGAAGGCAGCUCACUAAGCCAAUAUUGACGCUCAGGCACGAAAGCGUGGGGAGCAAACAGGAUUAGAUACCCUGGUAGUC
This 228-nucleotide ribosomal RNA is filed under the name uncultured bacterium. Its description in RNAcentral is "partial 16S ribosomal RNA". It matches the Rfam family "Bacterial small subunit ribosomal RNA", at positions 568 to 795 of the family's 1533-position model. The record is from RNAcentral.